UGCCAGCCGCCGCGGUAAUACGGAGGGGGCAAGCGUUGUCCGGAUUUACUGGGUGUAAAGGGCGCGCAGGCGGAUUUGUCAGUCAGGGGUGAAAGCCCCGAGCUCAACUUGGGAUGGUCAUUUAGAACUGGCAGACUAGAGUCUUGGAGAGGGGAGUGGAAUUCCAGGUGUAGAGGUGAAAUUCGUAGAUAUUGGGAAGAACACCAGUGGCGAAGGCGGCUAACUGGCUCGGUACUGACGCUGAGAUGCGAAAGCGUGGGGAGCAAACAGGAUUAGAUA
Molecule: ribosomal RNA, 279 nt
Filed under: uncultured bacterium
Lineage: Bacteria
Description: partial 16S ribosomal RNA
Rfam family: Bacterial small subunit ribosomal RNA
Source: RNAcentral